GAGCUGUCCUUAGUACGAGAGGACCGGGAUGGACAUACCUCUGGUGUACCAGUUGUCGUGCCAACGGCAUAGCUGGGUAGCUAUGUAUGGACGGGAUAAGUGCUGAAAGCAUCUAAGCAUGAAGCCCCCCUCAAGAUGAGAUUUCCCAACUUCGGUUAUAAGAUCCCUCAGAGAUGAUGAGGUUAAUAGGUUCGAGGUGGAAGCGUGGUGACACGUGGAGCUGACGAAUACUAAUCGAUCGAAGACUUAAUCAAUUU
RNAcentral lists this ribosomal RNA (257 nucleotides) under Staphylococcus sp. HMSC072E01. RNAcentral's name for it is "partial 23S ribosomal RNA". It matches the Rfam family "Bacterial large subunit ribosomal RNA", at positions 2669 to 2925 of the family's 2925-position model. Lineage: Bacteria; Bacillati; Bacillota; Bacilli; Caryophanales; Staphylococcaceae. The record is from RNAcentral.